This 90-nucleotide transfer RNA is filed under the name Candidatus Brocadiaceae bacterium. RNAcentral's name for it is "tRNA-Ser". It matches the Rfam family "tRNA". From Rfam's summary of the family: Transfer RNA (tRNA) molecules are approximately 80 nucleotides in length. The record is from RNAcentral. Lineage: Bacteria; Pseudomonadati; Planctomycetota; Candidatus Brocadiia; Candidatus Brocadiales; Candidatus Brocadiaceae.
GGAGGGAUGGCCGAGUGGACGAUGGCGGCAGUCUUGAAAACUGUUGGGGGCGCAAGUCUCCCGUGGGUUCGAAUCCUACUCCCUCCGCCA